Molecule: long non-coding RNA, 704 nt
Organism: Aplysia californica (California sea hare)
Lineage: Eukaryota; Metazoa; Mollusca; Gastropoda; Aplysiida; Aplysiidae
Exons: 2
Source: RefSeq, a predicted model, not a curated record
ACUGACCUGAGGACGAGUGGAUGACAAGGUGGUAGGGAUACAUGACAGCGUGCCCAGUGUUCGGAGGCAAAGGCUCAUCUACAGCACACGUGUACUUCAAGCCAAAGUUCAGGACUCUUGUCACAGAGAACUAUUUGAGAGUAGGCCUAUUACGACUUGUCAGCUUUUGAGUUUGAGUAAAGAGACGCACAUAGACUCAACAAAGAUCGCACAGUGAGGGGAAGAAGCAAGACGGAAAGACAGAAACCACGGAGAGAAAGAAAAAAAAAUAGUAGUUACCAGUGGCACCCUCUAACCACUCGCUUGUUAGCAAAAGCAUAUUAGAACCUCAGCUAGUAAGAGUUUGAAGUACCAUGUCUUGUCUCGUGAUAUGAUUUUACCCAACGGUGUGGUUCCCAUCUUCUUAGAUGGUUCUAUAAGGGUCCCAUGCCGAGGCUUUCUAGCUGUUAGAGGUUGUACCAACUCUGGAACUCCCAUUGUGUAGCCUUGUCCAGUCUACAGAAGCUUCUUUUUGACAGAAACGGCGCGAGAAAGACCAUUUCGUUUCUUCCCAAACCAUUACUGCGUAUUUUCCGAAACCUGUAUGCCAGGGGAAGCCACGUAUUGGUAAUUUCAUGGAUUAAAAACAUUUCAAGAAAAAAGCAUACAAAACAACAUCGUUAACAACAACAAUAGCAGCAACAACAACGACUACAACAACAACA